Molecule: long non-coding RNA, 12503 nt
Filed under: Lynx pardinus (Iberian lynx)
Lineage: Eukaryota; Metazoa; Chordata; Mammalia; Carnivora; Felidae
Source: RNAcentral
GGGGUUGGUGGGACAGCACCGUGUAAGGCAGACAUGUCGGGGGUCCGGGUGGUGUCGCGGCUCCUGGGCGCCCGGCGCCUGGCACUGACUAGGGCGGUGAGUCGGCGCCGUGGGGCGGGCAGGGCGCGGGGAGCCGAGGAGGGGCAGGACUUCCCACGGGGCGGAGCGGACGCCGAGUCCCCCCGGCGCCGGACCGGGACGGGGUCGCGAGGGUCUGGGGGAGGAUGCGGUGAGGAGGCCGCCCGAAGGGGUGGGGCCGACCCGGAGGGCCGCGGGACUCCUUCUGAAGCCAGCGAGUCGCGUCCCGGUGAAGGUCAUGACCCCGCUUGCCGUCCCCGGGGACCCUUCCCCAGAGUACUAAGGUCGCCCCCGCCCCAGCCUUCGGCGCGUGGGGAGGCGUGUUUGCCCGAGGUCACCCUGACAGGUGGCGGCCCGUGGGUGCCCCGGGCCUCUGAAUCCAAAAGCGCCCUUAGAUCUCCGGCGGAGGCGGGCCGGCAACCGCAGGCGCGCGCCGGCCGGGCGCUGUGCCGAUCGCCCUGGGGACGGUCCGUCGGGUGCCAGCAGCCCCGAGGACCCGGCCGGGCUCGGCCCUCCCGCCCCAGGCAGGGUAGGUGGGAGGCACGUCUGACACCGGCGCUGGCGCUUGCCUGGCAACUGUUUGCAAAACCGCGCUUCUUCGGGGAAAGCGAAGACCCGUGUUUCACACCGGGAUCUGGCAACUUUUGGACCUUCAUUUUGGGUUUUGUAUGGUGGCCUUUUGCGCACAUUAGAAAACCAGGCGAAGAACGUCAGCGCUCUGACCGCAGACCACGUUCGGGCGACGGCGCCGGGAAGUCUGAUUUCCCGUGCGUUGUCUGCCCGGACUCCGGUCAGUCGUGGAUGACCGUCAGGGUUGUGCCUUCUGGAGCCCUUGCUUACCGGAUUGUGUCAGAUGUACUCCUUACAGUUACGUCUUCAGGAUCUACCUUUUCAGGUUUUAUUUCAGCACACUAAACUUGGAGGGGUUGUUGUUUGGGUUCUUUUAUAUGAUCCGCCUGCCCACCUACUUAGUAAUGUAAUUACAGAGUGAAAAUCCCAGUGGGAACCGAGGCAUUCAACAGUAUUGACAGGAGUUAUGCCUGUAGUUAUACCUGCAAUUUUCUCCAUUUUGAAAUACAGAUACUAAAAAUUAAGUUAAAUGUGAGAAGGUUAACUCCGCCAUCCUGCCAAUGCCAGAGAACGUUUUCAAUGCUUUCUCGUGCUGCUGUGGUUGAUGCUUCCUGAGCAGAGGUCCCCACUCUCCACACCCCACCCAUCUUGGGCUCUAAGUCCACAAGCUGGAUGGGCAGUGGGAUAUUCUUCGGCAAACGUGAGCAGACUUCUUAGUGCCUCCUGCUUGUUAAGUGCAGUGACCAGUAACUGGUGGUGCUGGGAGAAGAGCUAAACAUGUGUGUCCUCGGUCACCCCAGCGUUCUUGUGCAGACUAAGACCCCUCCAGUCUGUGGAACUCCCUUGACCACCUGCCUGCCCUUUGUUUAUGACCUUGUUGUCCUUUAUGUAAACUGGACUAGAAUUCUAGCUCUGAGCUCUGAGCUGCAAGUGAGAAUAAGAUUCUGAGCACCACUGGUCAGAGUGUGUAAACCUGUACUUUUGUAUUGGCUUGAUUGGAAGUUAUCUUGGUUGAAUCAACUAUUAGCUGCCAGCAUUUACCCUUCUUUUUACCUUGAUGAAGAUAGCUUUUCCUGUGGAAAUUAAUUCUGCCCCCAAGCAGUAUAUGUAGUGGAAUUUAAGAUUGGCAAAAACAAAAGCAUCAACUUAGAACAACAACAACGAAAUGUAUGAUCACCAACUGAGAAAUGUGCACGGAGAGUAGAUGAUGAGGGUAGUUUGAAUAAAAUCCACAGAGAAUUUUUCUUGAUUUCAUUUUGUUCAAUUCUCUGGUGUUUCCAAGGCAGUUUAUAUUUACAGCUGCUUUCAAGUUGCAAAAUCAUCAAACCUAUUUUGCGUUGGUUUCAUUUUUAGUUAUCUUAAUGCACUGACAUAAUUUGCAGACUGUUCUGGUGUAUUGAAAGGAAAAGUAAAAGCAAGGUCCUUAAAUAGUUGCUGGUUAAUUGCUUCAGAUGAGAUUUUUCAAAUUCUUUAACAUGGAUAUCCAAAGUACUGUUCUAGAGUAAGUCAGUUUUUCUUUGAAUGUAUUGUUUUGAAUUUGGCUUAAUGAUGUAUCUAGAAUUACAUUAUUUAGGCCAUUGUGGUAACCUUUUUUGUUUUCCUUUUUGGGGUAAUUGUACCGCUGUGGCAUUCAUUUCUGCAUUCUGUGGGAUGUUUUUCCUGGUUCACUGGAAAAAUUGUGGCUUGGUUUUGAUACGUAAUCUGGAUAUGCAUCUUAUUUUGGAGUCCCAGAGAUUUUUCCUAAGGCUCCUUACCUAGGGGGGAUGUACUGAAUCUGGUACCAGCCAGGCAGACCAGAGUUCAGACCCUGGAUAGACUCCAUUUCUCUUUCAUGAGGGUUCUGGGAGGUAGCCUGUGACGCCCUGGUGUGGUGAUCAUUCUAGCCAGGACCUACACCUACAGCCUGUGCUCGAUAAUCUUGUGAAUUGUAUUCUAAGCAUCCCUGUUUUAAAAACCUUUAAACUUCUAAUGAAAAUAAUUACACAUAGUUAUAAAAAAAAAAGUCAAGGAAUACAGAGGCUUUAUAAAUGAAAAGGAUUGAGACCCUCUCCUAACCUCAGACCUGUUCCCCAGUGAAAUCACUUCUGAAUUGUUUCUGUUAUUGGCCGCUGGUGUUUACCUCCAUGUCUCUAGCUAAUGUGCAGGCUUACGUUCAUCCAUUUUGGACUUUGACUUGUGGCUCUGAAUGAGGACUCAGUUCGCUUAAACCAUCUUCCCCCAUCCUCAGUUCUUCCCAUGGCCUUCCAAGGCACUUUCAGAGCCUUUAUGGGCUGCUUUUCUUAUUAUACAGAUUGUACUUACAAAUAGUUUCUUGUCUGCAAUUCAUAGGUGAACGCUAUCAGAUGGGGACCUGUACUUCGCUAGAUUAAGGGUUUCAAUAUCUCUGCCCUUCUCUUCAGUUUUCUCCCUUUUACCAUUUAAGUCAUUCACUUGUGCUUUCAUGUCAUUAAAAGCUCUGUUUCUUUUAAUUCUGCCUCCAAGGCAGAUUUCCUCACGCUUCUUUACGUUUCCCUGUUGGAAAAUGUUUGAUAGUUUUACUUCAAAAAAUGUUAAAUAGUUUUAUUUAUAGACAAAUUGGGUUAAUUUUGGGCUCUCCAGAUUCUAAAAUUGCUCCUCAAAUCCGAUUUGGAUAAAAAGCUAGUAUUCUAUUUUCCACAGGGAGAUAGUAUGAUAAUUUGUUAGAGAUUUCAUUUUAACAGCUGCCAGUGUUUGAGAUGGCCGUGUGUGUCUAUCUUUAUUUAACGUGAACAUCCUAGAAAGAAGAAAUAAAUACUUAGGGAAUCUCACUGUUACUAUUUUACUUUUUUACAGUUCAACUUAAGCAGGUAAGUUUAAUGAUCAGAACAAAAAUGGGAUCGCUUAGGAAAAACUAUAUAAAAGACGCUUUACAGUAUAAUAUGUCCUUUUCAUGUUGAUUAUUUUUAUAGGAUUUAAUAUGUGAUUAUUCUUCAGUUUUCUGAAUUAAAAUUGUUCAGGUGGCCAUAAAAUCUGGAAACAUAGACAAAUAUACAUAAUAAAUAGUUUACUCAUAUUCCAACAAAUGUUCAAUGAAUGUGCUGUUCCUCAUUAGCAUUUCAUACUUUAACAAGUUAUGCAAAACUGCAUGUGCACCAAAGCACUAUUUCCAUCAAUCCUCGUACAUCCACCUACAACGAAUCGCUUGUGGGGAUUUGUGUGUCUCACUUUCCCUGAAUAAACGUGUGCCUUUAGCACACCCAAGGUGUAAUUAAGGAAGAAGUGUCUGUCAUCUGUGUUUCUGGAUUGUGUGGUCCUGUUUUUGGUUUUGUUUUUUUUUUUAAGUUUCACCUACUAUAAGUCUUAAAAACAUUUUUGACCAUUCGUAUUAUACCAAGAAAAAAGAUGAAUACUAAAUACAAGCUAAUGGAAAAACAAAAAUUCAUUUGUUUUACCUUUCUAUUCCACAUCACAACAUUUUACUGAAAAUGAAGGGAUUUUUCAUCUAUAGAUAAAAGACUCUAAAUGGUACUUAGGUUGUUUUACAAGUUUGAUUUUAAAAUCGUUUAGAAUUCACAAUGGGUCUUACACACAAUGAUUUCAAUAAAUCAGGCACUCCAGAGCACAAUUGGAGGUGUAACAAUUAUGUGAUGACUUCUUAACAGUCCAAGGAGAUAAAGACCUUUUUUUCAAAUAUGGAAAGAAAUUAAUCUUUCUGCAGUAUUAACCCCUAAAAGCUAUCUUCCUUUAUAGACUACAAUAUUAUUGUCAAUUUAAUAUACUUUUAUUUUUUUUAAUCUUAUUUUUAAUGUUUGUUUUACUUUUGAGAGACACAUCCAGUGCGAACGGGGGAGGGACAGAGAGAGAGGGAGGCGCAGAAUCCUAAGCAGGCUCCAGGCUCUGAGCUGUCAGCACAGAGCCUGAUGCAGGGCUUGAACCCAUGAACCGUGAUAUCAUGACCUGAGCCGAAGUCAGAUGCUUAUCUGACUGAGCCACCCAGGCACCCCCAUAUACUUUUAAAAAGAACUCCCAGAGGAAGAAAUUUCUGGAGGUUUUCCCAAAUAUAUACAGCUACUUUUUCUGUCAUGCUUACAACAUCUGCAAAGUACGGAAUGUUCAAAUGCAGAUUCUUAUGAUCAAGGGGCUCCAUAAUUGCCUCCUCCAUAUACUCUUUGAGGUCAGUCACUUUCAUAACUAUUCCUGUAAUAGGAUCAAUCUCUCCAUGUACUGUCACCACAACUUUAUAAUUGUGCACGUGGCCAUUUGGAUUGUUGGCAUUCCCAAACAAUUUCAAGUUUUCUUCAUUACUCAGAGAUGUGCUGUGGAGCCAGUAGGUCGCUCUGAGGGAGAUGAGGUGGGACAGUUGCGUGGUGUUCUUGGCUUGCCUUCCCACUUGGUUGGUGGUGGGGCUGGGACAGGCUCUCUGUUUCUAUUUUGAUUUCAAUUUGGUAUUGUAAAAUGUAUUGUUCUUUUUUGGAACUAUUACCUUUAUCUUGUACUUCAUUAAAAUUUCAUGAACAUUUGUAUUUUGCUGACUUGGUUAUUUGUUAAGAUGUGAUUUUUACCAUUUAAAAAUUAUACUAAAGCAGAAGAAUAUUCUUUUUAAGUUUUUUAAUUCGUUUACUGGACAAAAAGUUGACUUAUGUCAAUAAAAACAAAAGUACUUAUGGGCGCUUGGGUGGCUUAGUCGCUUAAGCAUCUGACUUUAGCCCACAUCAUGGUCUUGUGGUCCAUGAGUUCGAGCCCUGUGUUGGGUUCUGUGCUGACAGCUAAGAGCCUGGAGUCUGCUUCAGAUUCUGUGUCUCCCUCUCUCUCUGCCCCUCCCUGGCUUGUGCUCUCUCUUUCUCAAAAAUAAAUAAACAUUAAAAAAUACAUAUAUACUUAAAGUUGAAAUUGGAGAAUUCAAGAAUAUUGCAUUUAUCAGUUCAGGUCUACUUAGAAAUUCAAGAAACUUCUUUGUAAUUGGAACUGUUAGCAUAAAGUCAACUAUUUGUGGCAGGCAUCAUUUGGUCUCAGUGCUUAAGAAAGUCUAAAAAAAUAUUUUUAAGUUAUUCUUGAGAGAGAGAGCGAGAGGUGGGGAGGGGCAGAGAGAGAGAGAGGGAGAGAGUGAGCAUCCCAAGCAGGCUCUGCACUGUCAGCACAGAGCCCAGAUGCAGGCCUAGAACUCAUGAACUGUGAGAUCGUGACCUGAGCCAAAACCAAGAGUCAGUUGCUUAACUGACUGAGCCACUCAGGUGCCCCUAAAUGCUAAAGAAAGUCUAGAGGUUGGAGCCACCUGCUCCAUUUGCAAGCGGCCAAGCCCUCCAGCCUGGCCUGAGGCCAUUAAUCUUCAAAGAAAGUCCUUCUGUUCAAAACCACUCAGAGUUCAUUUUGUAUUUUGCCAAAUUCUCCUCCCUGAAUUCUCCACUUGUUUGUCCUACAGAAUAAUUUUUUUACCCCACAGAAUAAAUAGCAUCUCUUCCAAACUGCAGAAUACUCGAAGACAUCUCUCAUAUCCCCUUUGUCAUUGUUAAACAUACUUAAUUCCUAAAACUGUUCAUGAAAUUGCUAAGACUUCAUUUUAUCAGUAGCCGUCUAAAAUGCAGUCAUAGAACAGAAAGACAUGCCUUAUAAGUUGGUUUUCAUAUAAAGAAGAUGGCCCCUCAGGCUGGGCUGUGAUUUCAUUAAUACCAAUUUUCUUGAGUAAAUGUGUUCAUAGGGUGGAACAUUUAAGCCAAAACUUGGAGAGUUGGAGAGAUUAGCCAGGGAAUGGCCAGGGACAAGUGUUCAGACAGGGAACAGCACCCUGGAGUAUGACAGAGGAGAGGGGAUGUGGCUACAGCCCAGCGCAGGUGUGGAGAGUGGUGAAGCAGGAGCAUCUCUAGGCCUGGAGUCUUCACAUUCACAGUGAAGGGUUGGUCCCGCUGGUACCCAGUGUCAGGGUGAGCAGUAGAGCCUCUUGUAGAAGAUGGAUCUCCCAAUACACUGUCCCAGGCCUUUUCCAGUGAACCACAAAACCUUGCAGACGUGUGGUGCUAUAGUGUGAAGAGGGUCAUGAUGGAUCCAGUAAAAGUGCUUCAUUGUAAACUACCACUUUCACAAAAUAGAUGGGUUUCCCAUUGUCCACUAAAAACCAUAAAUUAAGAAAUGAACGUGACAUUGUGUCCUUUUCAUUUCCUGCUGAGUCUGUGAGUGUCCUGCUUGGAGACAAGCUUCAUCUAGAAGAGCUUUUCUCGGAGUGCCAACUCCUUGCCACUUGGGCCUGCCCUGGGUCCUUAGUCCGCCUCUACCCUUCAGGGUUAAGUAGAGGACCCCAGGUGAGCUGUCUAGGUGAAGGAGCAGCUGGAUACAUAAAAAGGUUAAUGACUUGGGAAAUUUUGAUGAUUUGUUAUUCUUCUAAGACACUUAAGUGCUCUCCAUCUCUCCAUCUCUGUCUCAGCAGUGGCCCGCGACAUGGCAGGCAGGCACCUGCGGUUUUCACUUCACUAUUGAUGGGAAUAAGAGGUCUUCAGCUAAAGUUUCAGAUUCAGUAAGUUUACAACUUUUUGUUCCCUUAUAAAUGAUAUGCUUGUCUUAGAGGAAUAAUGAUCUAUGCCAGUCUUCAAUAUAUUGGAGUAAUACACAGGUCUUAUUUAAAGGAAAACAUUCUGGUUCCAAUAAUGCUCUAUUUUUAGUGUAUAGCACUUAACUGUAGUACAAAUGUAAGCAUAGUUACUAACAUUUUUUGCUUAUGGUUCUUAAGUAUCUAUAAACCAGAUUAAAAUUUAAAGCAGCAAAAUAAUAAAAUACCAGUGACCACUGAACAUUAUUCAUUGUGACAGAUGACAUAGGACCCUGAAGCCACUUGUGUGUAGGCUCUUGGUGUUUACUGGGUCUGUUCUGUCCUCUGCUGAAGGCACUAAAAUUUGUUUACAAAUUCUUUUCUCACAAGCUCACAAUAGUUACUGAAUACUAGUUGGCACCUUCUCAGUCCAACACAAACAUGGUCCUGAAACCGGGGGGUGGUCCUCAGUGCUGAGGCAGUUGCCCAGAUGAAUCGGAAUGUGCCUACCUAAUUAAAACAACAUACUGGGGCACCUGGGCGGCUCAGUCGGUUAAGCAUCCGACUUCAGCUCAGUUCAUGAUCUCGCGGUUUGGGAGUUGGAGCCCCGCAUCAGGCUCUGUGCUGACAGCUUUCGAUUCUGUGUCUCCCUCUCUCUCUCUGUCCCUCCCCUGCUUGCACUCUGUCUCUCUCUCCUUCAAGAAAUAAAUAAACAUUAAAAAAAAAAAAUUUACCUUUUCUUGAGAAACUUGCUGACCGCAGGUGGAGAAUCAUGAUCUAUAUACUGCAUUAUGAGCUUAGAUUCACACAAGCAUGUGUAUGAAUAUAUGGCUGUCAACGGAAAAAGAUGAACAGAAAGGAUAAUGGAGUAGGAAAGCCGUAUUUAGAACUAAUAUUUUGAUUUGUGUCGUUGCUUUCCUUUGCUUCCACGGUUCCCUGCUUUGAGGCUGUACCUCUUGUUUUCAACAUUUCACUUCAUGGUGGGUGUCCCAGGUGCUAGGAUGCGUGCUCCCUCUUCGUCGGGUCUGUGUUUCGGUCCUGUCGGUGUGGGGUGUGCCAGCCACACACUCUGGGUCCUGGCACAGGGUGGAGGCCCCUCUGCUGUGGUUGCUCUUUCAUCGCUUCUUCCAUUUUGUCUGAGCUCUUGCACUGCACCCACCGUCCCAAUGUGUGGCAUAGGUAAAUGGGUGGUUGACAGGUGAAUUGUUCCUUUCCAGAUUUCUACGCAAUACCCGGUAGUGGACCAUGAAUUUGACGCGGUGGUGGUAGGCGCUGGAGGGGCAGGCUUGCGAGCUGCGUUUGGCCUUUCCGAGGCAGGGUUUAACACGGCCUGCGUCACAAAGCUCUUUCCUACGAGAUCACACACCGUUGCAGCCCAGGUAAGAGAAAGGGGCCCCCUUAAUGGUUUUGGCGCCUGCACAGCAGUGCUCAGUCUUCUGCCACAGGCCUUCUCACUGCACGCCAGCCAUGUUCCUGUCUCUCUGCUCCUUGCACCCACCUGGCUUACUCGCCUUGGGAGUGUGUUCCCACACUGCCUCCACCCCCACUGCCGGAGUCACUCCUAGGGCCUCUUAUCGCUCUGCUGCUCCAGUGACACUCAGGUCUUCUCUGAGCACCCACCUAAUCCUCUGGCCCCCAUCAUAGUUUGUCUUCACUGUACUUUCCCAAUCUAAAAUGAGCCUGUCUCUGGACUGAUUCUCUUGGCCCUGCUGCAUCCUUGGCAUGGGCCUCGUUAAGUAUGAUGAUGAUGAGCUUUGCUGGUGGCAUGAAUGUGCAGGACAGAAGAACAUUGGCCUUUAAAUGCUCAAAAUUUAGGGAAGAGGAUAAAAGUAAGAUGAAAAAGUACACAGUGAUUUUAUAAUUUUGUUUUCUUUCCUGGCACACCGUAGGUGGUACGCAGGUUGUAUAUAGUAUUCCAAAACUGGAAUGAAUUGAACUGUUUUUUCCAGUAUUUGGAACAUAUUUCCUCAUAGAGAUAGCAGAGUGUGGGGUAACUUUCCAGGAACCAGUAAAAGCCACCCUAAUUACUGUUGUAGCCUGUAUUCAGCAUGCAGCAACAUUCUUCAGGCACUUUGCUACACAGAUACUUUGUUCUAAAACUAUGUGUUAUAAACUGAAAAAUAAAUAAUACAUACUUUUGAAGAUUACAUUGUGUCUAAAAGGAAAAAUGGAUGUAAACAUAAGUCUAAAUAAUGAGAAAUAAUAGUAUAUUCAGGUAGUGCAAUAUUAAAACAAUAAAAAGUUAGAAAUGGAUAGCUUACCUUGAAUGCUGGUUGGAGAAAGUAAGGUUUAAUUGGGGGGAUAAGACAGGUGGGGACUGGGCAAGUCUAAAGUGUACUCCUGGGGGGGGCGGGGCACAUGGCUGGCUCAGUCAGUAAAGCGUGCAACUCUUGAUCUCAGAGUCGUGAAUUAGAGCCCUGGGUUGGGUAUAAAGAUUGCUUUUUAUUUUUCUUUGAGUAGGCUCUGUGCCCAGCAUGAGGCCCAGCAUGGGGCUUGAACUCUCGACCCUGAGAUCAAGACCUGAGCUGAGAUCAAGUUGGACACUCAACCGACUGAGCCACUGAGGCGCCCUGAGAUUACUUUAGAAAAACAAAAUUGUAUUUCUUGGGACUCCUGGAAGACCAGCUGUCUGUGGCCCUGAUUCUUACUAGUAGUAGCAAUAAAAUAAUAGCAUGGACAUGUGCACUGGGCCAAGUAUUUAGUGUUAUUUUAAACUAGGUUUCUCUCUUCUGCUACUACUCUGGUACUUAACAGUUUUUACUAGGACUGUGUUUGGGUUUACAAUCGGUGGGGUCGGAGAAGGAGGAGGAAAUAACUUGUGACUUUUGCUGCUUGUCUUGUUAGGGUUCCUGGCUUUGUGCUGGUGACUCUUUUCUUGAUAACUGAAACAUAAUGGGAAACUGAGGCACAGCAGCACCAAGCGGGGAAAGAAUUCCUGCAUGGGUCUGCUUGACUCAGAAGCUUGAUUGAGGAACAUUUGCAAAAAAGAGGGAAGUCAGAAAAUGUGCCUUUUCUUCUCAAAAAGAGAUGAGUAAUCCGGUUUUAAGUUGCGGAGGAAAAGUGUGAGUGUUACAUUUGUCCCUGUACUGCCAUUUUCUGUGACUCUGAGAGACAGACACGGUAGAGAGAAUGUGACUCUGAGUUUAGAGUUUAUUCCUUGACCGUAAGUACUUCUUUAACACAUGUCCAUAAAUGCCACUGGGAACAUUUUGUCAUAAAAUUAUCCCAGAUGGAUUUGCUCAAUACCUUUUAUGUGCCAGGUUUGGAGGUGACGAGCAUUGCUCAUAAAACCGCACUUAACCCUCCAGAUGGCUCUCGAGUUCAGCUUCAUGUCCCUUCAUGGGUAAGGGCACUGAGGCUGAGGGAGGUAAGAUUUGGCGUCUGUCGUGCCUCUCCCUGCUCAGGACGGUCCUGUAACCAACCAGACUGCAGUCAGGUCCCUCACAUGCCGUUGUUGUCAAAAUUAGUUGGUUUUCUCUGAAUCCAGUUUUGGGCAGUGGGUGGAAGGGGGAUGGGCCUGGAAGGUCCAGGGUUCCCUUUCGUAGCUUGUAAGUCUGCCCUGUGUUUACAGGGAGGGAUCAAUGCUGCUCUGGGGAACAUGGAGGAGGACAACUGGAGGUGGCACUUCUACGACACUGUGAAAGGCUCCGACUGGCUGGGGGACCAGGAUGCCAUCCACUACAUGACAGAGCAGGCCCCUGCUUCCGUGGUAGAGGUACUGUCCUUGCAUGGUCUGUUUCUGGUAGAAAAGAGAGGUCGAGGCAAAUGUGGUCAGCCCAAGGAAUGGUAACCAGUUGAUGUAACAAGGGAAAUCUUUCCUAUCAUUAACCAUUCAGUUCAUUUAAUAACAAAGUUUUUCUCUUUUCCUGAAGUGUUGAAAUUUUCAUAGAACGUAUUGGUUUGGGUUUACAGGUUUAUGUUGAAAUUGUUUAGUGUAAAUUAGCGAUGAAUAUCCCGAUUCCUUCAAGGUCCUGGGUGUUUGUUUUCACAUUUCACAGCUGGAGAAUUAUGGCAUGCCAUUCAGCAGAACUGAAGAUGGGAGGAUCUACCAGCGCGCUUUUGGUGGACAGAGCCUCAAGUUUGGGAAAGGCGGGCAGGCCCAUCGGUGCUGCUGUGUGGCUGACCGCACUGGCCACUCGCUGCUGCACACGUUGUAUGGAAGGGUGAGGCCACCCUGGGUGCAUGGGGUGACAGGACAUGGUCUGGUUAGGCCAGGCAUGUGGUGAUGAGCUGGAAACAGGCCACUCUGGGACAGGUCAGAAGGUCAGCAUGUCAGCCCUGGGGUUGCUUAAUAAACAGCAGACUAACAUGGCAGGAUGUAUAUUUGUUAAUUGUUAAUUUGAAAGUGUCUAUUUUAGAAAAUUAAAUUGAUCUGCCAUACCGAAAGUAUAAGAACAGAGCAAGUAUUUUAGGACUCAGCACCUCUGAGUCCCUGAACUAAUUGAUUUAAUACUUAAGUGUUCAAACUGGACUAAGGUUUGGGGGACAGUAGUUACUGGAUAAUCAGGGCCUACUUUGGCAUAGCCAAGUAAUCAAUAUUUGGAAUAACUCUGAUUCAUAAUAUUCAGUAUUCUGAAUUCUUGCUCUCAAAUGGGGACAGAUUCUUGAUUUGCAAAUGUUAGGACCCUGGUGGCAGCUUCGGCUGAGUGCAUUGACACACGUGUGACAGGAUCUGCCCAUCCUGCAGCAUACUGUGUCAUGUUGGGGAGCUGGUGGUUUUGUGAGAGCCCUUCAUGUUUACUGAGCAGCUACAGCAUCUUCUCUGACAUGCAUGACAUGUGUAUGUCCUUCUUAUGGUCUGAUCUGAUCAUACAGCUGAGAGCAGGGUACCUUUCGUGUUGAUCCACAACAGCAUCAGCACUAUGGUUGAUGCAAGUAAAGUCUGUGGCUUCUUUUGCAGCCCAGGGUUUACCCUGUCCAUUUGUUACACACCACAUCAGAGCCCUUGACUUGUUCAUAUGAGCAGUGUUGCUGAAAUGUUAGUUUAACACCCUAAAUGCAAUUGAAACUGUGGGAUUCUUUUUUCUUUCAUGUUUUUUAGUCUCUGCGAUAUGAUACCAGCUAUUUUGUAGAGUAUUUUGCUUUGGAUCUCCUGAUGGAAAAUGGAGAAUGUCGUGGUGUUAUUGCGCUGUGCAUAGAAGACGGGUCCAUCCAUCGCAUAAGAGCAAAGAACACUGUUGUAGCUACUGGGUAGGAGUCUAACUUGUAUUUAGUUUUUCUGCAGGAAAGUUGGGUCUCCGAGUUUCUUUAAAAAAAAAAAAAAUGGAGGCAGUGACCUAACCCAGGAGCAUAAUAAGCUUUGCCAGUCUCAGUUCCAUGUCUCCAAAGGGGACAAUCAUAGCACCUGCCUCAGGUGGGUGAGGAAGUAUCUGUCUUCAGU